Molecule: ribosomal RNA, 497 nt
Filed under: uncultured bacterium
Lineage: Bacteria
Description: partial 16S ribosomal RNA
Rfam family: Bacterial small subunit ribosomal RNA
Source: RNAcentral
GAUGAACGCUGGCGGCGUGCUUAAUACAUGCAAGUCGAGCGAACGGACGAGAAGCUUGCUUCUCUGAUGUUAGCGGCGAACGGGUGAGUAAUACGUGGGUAACCUACCUAUAAGACUGGGAUAAGUUCGGGAAACCGGAGCUAAUACCGGAUAAUAUAUUGAACCGCAUGGUUCAAAAUGGAAAGGCGGUUAUGCGGUCUGUUAGAGAUGGAUGCGCACUGCAUUAGCUAGUUGGUAAGGGAACGGCUUACCAAGGCAACGAUGCAUAGCCGACCUGAGAGGCUGAUCGGCCACACUGGAGCUGGGACACGGUCCCGACGCCUACGGGAGGCCGCAGUCUGGUAUCUUCCGCAGUGGGCGAGAGCCUUACGGAGCGGCGCCGCGUGAGUGAUGAAGGUCUUCGGAUCGUAAUACUCUGUUAUUAGUGGAGAACAUAUGUGUAAGUGGCUGUGCACAUCGUGACGGUACCUAAUCAGAAAGCCACGGCUAACUACGUG